GAAGCUGCGCAGUCGUUUGCAGUUCCAUCGCUGCCGUGGCUGUGAGUGUGUUUCGGCGGCUACAUCUCAAUGUCGACGUUACGGGUAUUCUUCACCUCGAUACAAGCAACCUGGUGACGUAGGUGUGCUUCUCCUAAGCCUGACUUCUUGUUAGAAGUCUCCCUGUGAUGGAUCGUCCUUGUAAAGAACCAGUGGAUACAGCGAGUGCGCCUUCUUUUUUUUUCGUUAUUGAUCUAGGUGUUCGCUAUAGAGGAGUAACAACAGUUACUGCGAAAUACGUAGGAUCGAUGCUGCAAAAAGGGUUAACAAUUGACCGCGAAACCGUCGAAGAUGGCUCAGCGGCGAAUCCAAGUGCGGAUGAGAGAAGAAAUCGGCCACAUCCUCACGAAGAAUAAUCGCGACGUCUGCUUGAGGUUCGCGCCAGUAGCAGUGCAGCGCUCGCGAGGUGGGAAGGCUACCCGUGCAGCGCAGUCUCGACAGCGAGCAGCGUUGUGCAGCCUCUACAGCGGUCGGCGGCGGCCAGAUGAGGUGGAGGUGAGGCAAGGACUGGUUUGUCCAGUGGCGCUGGACCCGCGUCACCGUGUUUACGACGCUACUCUCCUGGAGGAGGGGAGAGUGGGGACAGAAAACACUCCUUGCAGCGCCACAUCGAAAACAAGGUGCCGUGUUUGCUUACGUUCACGUAACCACUGCAGAAUUUCCGCUGACAACUGUGGGUGUGGUUGCCCUGCCGUUGGCAACAAUACCAAUGAGGCUUUCUGCUACGUCACCUGGACGAAGGCGUGCAGUAAAUUCACACAAUCACACUACACUGCACAGAGGCUGUCCCAAACUUUAGGGUCAAAAUUGUAUAUAUAGUAGUGAAUUUUUAACUGAAUACGUUUAGAGAUUGAUUUAAUAGCUGAAAAUAAAUAUUUUGUUUAUUACUGA
Molecule: long non-coding RNA, 930 nt
Organism: Schistocerca americana (American grasshopper)
Lineage: Eukaryota; Metazoa; Arthropoda; Insecta; Orthoptera; Acrididae
Exons: 3
Source: RefSeq, a predicted model, not a curated record